UGAGUUCUCCCUGAGACUUUAAGUCUCCUGAAGGAACGUUGAAGACGACGACGUUGAUAGGCCGGGUGUGUAAGCGCAGCGAUGCGUUGAGCUAACCGGUACUAAUGAACCGUGAGGCUUAACCUUACAACGCCGAAG
RNAcentral lists this ribosomal RNA (138 nucleotides) under Klebsiella pneumoniae. RNAcentral describes it as "partial 23S ribosomal RNA". It matches the Rfam family "Bacterial large subunit ribosomal RNA", at positions 2805 to 2925 of the family's 2925-position model. The record is from RNAcentral. Lineage: Bacteria; Pseudomonadati; Pseudomonadota; Gammaproteobacteria; Enterobacterales; Enterobacteriaceae. RNAcentral also lists the same sequence under 5 other names.